Molecule: transfer RNA, 62 nt
Filed under: Stylochyrus rarior
Lineage: Eukaryota; Metazoa; Arthropoda; Arachnida; Mesostigmata; Ologamasidae
Description: tRNA-His
Source: RNAcentral
ACUAAAGUAGUUAAAUUAAAGAAUAAUAAAUUGUGGAUUUAUAGGUGUUAUUACCUUUAGUA